This 1132-nucleotide long non-coding RNA is filed under the name Fragaria vesca (wild strawberry). Its description in RNAcentral is "long non-coding RNA (FVES_LNC004247)". Lineage: Eukaryota; Viridiplantae; Streptophyta; Magnoliopsida; Rosales; Rosaceae. The record is from RNAcentral.
AAUGCUAGCUAGCCAUAUGUGUCUGUCCACCUUAAUGGCGUAGCAUAUAGCCGCAUUAUGGUGUGACGUGAGCGUUGGACGUAAGCGUAGUAGCCCUAUAUGAGUGUUUAAUCAUAUAGGGGGUAUGGGCACAUAUUUACACACCCGUCUGUCCACCUUGAUGGCGUAGUGUAGCACCGCAUUAAGGCGUGACGUGAGCGUUGGACGCGAGCGUAGUAGCCCUAUAUAGACCCAUGAAUUUAUAUAGGGAGUAUGGACGAGUGUAAAUACAUACAUAUAUUAUAGAGUCUGAGAGGCUCGAUAUUUUAUGGGAUAAAGGUUUUAUCGCUUGCGGCAUGCUAUUCGAUUUUUCCUUAGAAAUUAAUUUGGGAAACAUAAAUAUUUUAAUUAUUAAUUUAUUUUUGUCCACUCACUCUAACGUUAUUAAAUGUUUUCCCCUGGGCCCUUCGUUUUAAAUUGCCCAGUCUGCAGAGUUCGGGUUGGAUCUAGUAGGAGACGAGGCAUAGUCACCCGCUUUUCGGCCAGUUUUCAUCAGUAGGUUACCUGUUCAACCUACUCGUGUUUUCUUGCUUCCGCUUGUGUUUAGUAGCUCUAAAUACUUUAGAAUUUUUGUAUAUUAUGUGAUGUUCAGAAGUGUAAUAUGAAAUUUUCGAGUUAGGGUUGUCCAUCUGCAAGGGAGAUUUGCUUAAUCUUUUCAGUAAAUUUUCCUUGGAGGUGGUCCCCGCACGACUUACUCUGAGUUUCAGGGUGAAAUUCGGGGUGGGUCGUGUCAAUAAACCUCAUUCUUGUUCUAUUCACUCAUGGAAUCUCCUGCCAAUCAACCAAAACCCCCAAAAUUGAAAAUUUUCAUGAGCAUUAACAUGCCCAGUCGCGUUCUAAAUCCUUCAAGGUCGCAGGCCACUACAGCGAAGAUCUCAACGUCGCCCGAUCCCCAACCCAAACAAAGAUGAAGCUGACCAUCAUCGAUUCCCACCAAACAUGAACAAAAUGCAAUUGAAUCAGAUAAAAAAAAACAAAGUAAUUGAAGAAGACCCCCAACCAUGUCUCGUCGUUGGUGAGGCAUUAGUGUUGAAAUCAGAUCUGAUGCACAGAAAAAGUAGUUGAAGAAGACGCCAAACUUGUUUCGUGGAGG